Long non-coding RNA from Herpailurus yagouaroundi (jaguarundi), 1680 nucleotides. RefSeq lists it as uncharacterized. The transcript is spliced from 2 exons. NCBI's taxonomy places the organism in Eukaryota, Metazoa, Chordata, Mammalia, Carnivora, Felidae. The record is from RefSeq and is a predicted model, not a curated record.
GAGCUGUGAGAAGGAACCGAGAGGGCUUCUGCGGGGAGGAACCCGGCUCUGUGUCCCCACCCCCGGAGUCCUGGCCGCAGAGGAGUGUGGAGCUUUAAAUGACCAUAUCCACCACCAAGAUUUAUUGUGAGAGUGAUUGAUGUUAUAAACCAGGAACAGGACUCUUCCCACAGCAGGGAUGACAGAAAUAUCAAGUUGAAGUUGCCUUUGUCCUCCUGCACAACUGACCCGGUACUACAACACAGAAGAAGUAUAAUAAUUUAAUCCGAGAUCUACGACAGCGUUAAGAGAACACCCCGCAGGCCCGCUAAACAUUUCCCCAGCUGAUUCUUGGGUUUUCCCUCCCAUUUCUUGGUCUUAGUAAGGCGUGAGAGUCAUGAAAGUGGGCUUUGGCCAGCACUUUGUGCAACGUGUUAUGUAUUUUUGUAGCUACUGAGGUAUCUGCAAAAUAACCACAAUUUAUUUAUUUAUUUAUUCACUGGGACUCUGGAGUGGGAUAAAAAUUAAGAAUCAGAACUAUGGCCUUACCACAUGCCAAGCUAUUAAGCUAUAAAGCUUUUGGUUUCUGGAGCACUCAUGUUUGAGGGGAGGGGGAAGGGUCUGGUUUUCUGCCACAUCUCAGUUGUUAGGCUGCUCAGGCUAUUUGGGGGAUAGCAACCAUCAUAGAAAUAAGUACCAGAUUUCUGCUGUCUAUGUUUUCAAGGUCUGAAACUUGGAAAUAGAAAUUUCUGGAAGAGAGCGAGACGAGCUUCAUGCCACACAUUGAUUUAUGUGCCUAGCAGUUAUUAUUAUUACCUUUUUUUUUUUUUUAGAUAAGCAAGAAUUAAGUCCACUUAUCCUACGGUGAUACAGUUAGGCUGAGAAGGGCUAGUGGGUUGAUAAUGAACUUCGGGGUGUUUGCGAAAACUCGCCAAGGGAUGGUUACCAGUUUGGGAUGUGAAGAUGUGGAAAAGGCCAUUAUGUAGGCGUCCUGAUGUGACGUCUUGAAGAAAGUAGAUUAAUAUGAAUACUGCAUCUUUUCUCUUGACAUUUUGUGCCUAUCCCUGCUCAUAAACACUUAGGGAAAAAUGGGUGGGAGAAAUUCCUUAUUGCUGGAUUCUACUAAGAAAAUCAGUUAGGCUGUAACUUAAGCUGUGCCAAAUUCUCCCCAAAUAUAAACUAUACUCUGUGAGAAGAGAAAGAAAAGAAGCGCUUUUGAGAAGCUGUAUUAACUCUUGAUAACAAGGGAAAUACUCUGAACGUUAGUGUUUCAAAACACUAACUAGAAAGCUCAUGGUUUGAAGGCGCGAGGUAGUUACUAAAAGUUCUUGCCUCACUUUUAAAGACAAGAGUUUAUGCCCCAGAGACAUCUGGCCAAUUUGCAACACACUUCUAACAAUUGGCUUUGAAAGACAGGCUAUCUUCGAAAGAUUUCAGUGCUAAGGAAAAAUCUGGCUCUAAAGGUUGUAAAAUGAAGAUUAGGUGUGGAAUGUAUCCUUGAACUUAAAUCCUGGUUUAUCAACUGAUAACUUUUCAGGAAGUUCCAAUUUGAUUCAGUUGUGCUUGGAUGAAAUAAUUUGCUUCCUUUUAUAUGAGAAGGAAAACUUCACAGGCUUCUUCAGAACUGACUUCGUACGCCAUCACAUUUUCUUUCCCAGGGGUGGGGGGAGUUAAUGUCUUCAAAUGAACAUUUGAAUUAUU